Molecule: ribosomal RNA, 180 nt
Filed under: Priestia flexa
Lineage: Bacteria; Bacillati; Bacillota; Bacilli; Caryophanales; Bacillaceae
Description: Bacillus flexus 23S rRNA. Bacterial LSU
Rfam family: Bacterial large subunit ribosomal RNA
Source: RNAcentral
GUAGCUAUGUGUGGACGGGAUAAGUGCUGAAAGCAUCUAAGCAUGAAGCCCCCCUCAAGAUGAGAUUUCCCAUAGCGCAAGCUAGUAAGAUCCCUGAAAGAUGAUCAGGUUGAUAGGUCAGAGGUGGAAGCACGGCGACGUGUGUAGCUGACUGAUACUAAUCGAUCGAGGACUUAACCA